Molecule: ribosomal RNA, 497 nt
Filed under: uncultured bacterium
Lineage: Bacteria
Description: partial 16S ribosomal RNA
Rfam family: Bacterial small subunit ribosomal RNA
Source: RNAcentral
GAUGAACGCUGGCGGCGUGCCUAAUACAUGCGAGUCGAGCGAACAGACGAGGAGCCUGCUCCUCUGACGUUAGCGGCGGACGGGUGAGUAACACGUGGAUAACCUACCUAUAAGACUGGGAUAACUUCGGGAAACCGGAGCUAAUACCGGAUAAUAUAUUGAACCGCAUGGUUCAAUAGUGAAAGACGGUUUUGCUGUCACUUAUAGAUGGAUCCGCGCCGCAUUAGCUAGUUGGUAAGGUAACGGCUUACCAAGGCAACGAUGCGUAGCCGACCUGAGAGGGUGAUCGGCCACACUGGAACUGAGACACGGUCCAGACUCCUACGGGAGGCAGCAGUAGGGAAUCUUCCGCAAUGGGCGAAAGCUUGACGGAGCAACGCCGCGUGAGUGAUGAAGAUCUUCGGAUCGUAAAACUCUGUUAUUAGGGAAGAACAAAUGUGUAAGUAACUAUGCACGUCUUGACGGUACCUAAUCAGAAAGCCACGGCUAACUACGUG